GUGCCAGCAGCCGCGGUAAUACAGAGGUGGCAAGCGUUGUUCGGAAUUACUGGGCGUAAAGGGCGCGUAGGCGGUUCGAUAAGUCCCGUGUGAAAUCCCUCGGCUCAACUGAGGAAUGGCACGGGAAACUGACGGGCUUGAGUUCGGGAGAGGGAAGCGGAAUUCCGGGUGUAGCGGUGAAAUGCGUAGAUAUCCGGAGGAACACCGGUGGCGAAGGCGGCUUCCUGGACCGACACUGACGCUGAGGCGCGAAAGCUAGGGGAGCAAACGGGAUUAGAUACCCCGGUAGUCC
Molecule: ribosomal RNA, 292 nt
Filed under: uncultured bacterium
Lineage: Bacteria
Description: partial 16S ribosomal RNA
Rfam family: Bacterial small subunit ribosomal RNA
Source: RNAcentral